RNAcentral lists this ribosomal RNA (440 nucleotides) under uncultured bacterium. RNAcentral's name for it is "partial 16S ribosomal RNA". It matches the Rfam family "Bacterial small subunit ribosomal RNA", at positions 338 to 795 of the family's 1533-position model. The record is from RNAcentral.
CCUACGGGUGGCAGCAGUGGGGAAUAUUGCACAAUGGGGGAAACCCUGAUGCAGCGACGCCGCGUGAGUGAAGAAGUAUUUCGGUAUGUAAAGCUCUAUCAGCCGGGAAGAAAAUGACGGUACCUGAUUAAGAAGCCCCGGCUAACUACGUGCCAGCAGCCGCGGUAAUACGUAGGGGGCAGGCGUUAUCCGGAUUUACUGGGGGUAAAGGGAGCGUAGACGGCAGCACAAGUCUGGAGUGAAAUGCCGGGGCUUAACCCCGGAAGUGCUUUGGAAACUGUGCAGCUAGAGUGAAGGAGAGGUAAGUGGAAUGCGUGGUGUAGCGGUGAAAUGCGUAGAUAUUAGGAGGAACACCAGUGGCGAAGGCGGCUUACUGGACUGUAACUGACGUUGAGGCUCGAAAGCGUGGGGAGCGAACAGGAUUAGAUACCCCAGUAGUC